RNAcentral lists this ribosomal RNA (468 nucleotides) under uncultured bacterium. RNAcentral's name for it is "partial 16S ribosomal RNA". It matches the Rfam family "Bacterial small subunit ribosomal RNA", at positions 28 to 507 of the family's 1533-position model. The record is from RNAcentral.
GACGAACGCUGGCGGCGUGCUUAACACAUGCAAGUCGAACGGAAAGACCCUGCUUUUGUGGGGUGCUCGAGUGGCGAACGGGUGAGUAACACGUGAGUAACCUGCCCUUGACUUUGGGAUAACUUCAGGAAACUGGGGCUAAUACCGGAUAGGAGCUCCUGCUGCAUGGUGGGGGUUGGAAAGUUUCGGCGGUUGGGGAUGGACUCGCGGCUUAUCAGCUUGUUGGUGGGGUAGUGGCUUACCAAGGCUUUGACGGGUAGCCGGCCUGAGAGGGUGACCGGCCACAUUGGGACUGAGAUACGGCCCAGACUCCUACGGGAGGCAGCAGUGGGGAAUAUUGCACAAUGGGCGGAAGCAUGAUGCAGCAACGCCGCGUGCGGGAUGACGGCCUUCGGGUUGUAAACCGCUUUCGCCUGUGACGAAGCGUGAGUGACGGUAAUGGGUAAAGAAGCACCGGCUAACUACGUG